Rosa rugosa (rugosa rose) is the source of this 703-nucleotide long non-coding RNA. RefSeq lists it as uncharacterized. The transcript has 2 exons. NCBI's taxonomy places the organism in Eukaryota, Viridiplantae, Streptophyta, Magnoliopsida, Rosales, Rosaceae. The record is from RefSeq and is a predicted model, not a curated record.
UAUCAAGAAAGAUCGAGAGAGAGAGAGAUCCGUUGUCGUCGCCGCUUGAAUCCAAUUGAAUCCGGUAAUUCUCUCCCCUAAUUUUCAGGUGAUAUUCAGAGGCUUUGCGUCUUUGUUCCGUAGAAGUACAGAGAAGGUGAGCGAGGGAAAGAACGAUAGGGAGAGAAGACCUAUUUCGAUUCGAUUUGUUUCAACUUCCGCUAAGCUGCGCUCUCUUUGGUUAUGUUUUCAAGUACUUUGAUCCAUUUCAAUUCGAUCACUUAUCAAGAACGAUCCACAGAGGGAUAGAGAGAUCAGGUGUGUUUGUUUGCUUUGCUUUGCACAAAGACAUAGAGAGAGAGACAUAGCUCAUAUUCAGAAAAGGGGGAUUCUCACCUCCUCAUCUCAGCACGAGUGGGAAGGAACUAUGGAGACCACAUAUCUUCAAGAAGAAAUUGAUGAAGUCCGUGAUGAGUGGGCAGAAUUUGUUAGCAACUUUAGACUCCUCAGUUCUAUGGUUUAACUAUUAUCUAGUGAAACUUCUUUAAUUUGUUGCAAAAUUUACCUUUUGUCGCAAAACUUCUUUAAUACAUUCUUGUAUUAUUUAAGUUUCUUUUACUUUUGCAAACUUCACUGAAAAAAUUUUAACUGCGAAAGCAUUGUAAAUGUGAUUACUUGAAGUACGUACUUCUCUAUAUAUUAAUAUAUUGCAAUUUCAUUUCAA